This 464-nucleotide ribosomal RNA is filed under the name Vreelandella stevensii. Its description in RNAcentral is "partial 16S ribosomal RNA". It matches the Rfam family "Bacterial small subunit ribosomal RNA", at positions 338 to 795 of the family's 1533-position model. The record is from RNAcentral. Lineage: Bacteria; Pseudomonadati; Pseudomonadota; Gammaproteobacteria; Oceanospirillales; Halomonadaceae.
CCUACGGGGAGCAGCAGUGGGGAAUAUUGGACAAUGGGCGAAAGCCUGAUCCAGCCAUGCCGCGUGUGUGAAGAAGGCCUUCGGGUUGUAAAGCACUUUCAGUGGGGAAGAAAGCCUUGGGGCUAAUACCCUCGAGGAAGGACAUCACCCACAGAAGAAGCACCGGCUAACUCCGUGCCAGCAGCCGCGGUAAUACGGAGGGUGCGAGCGUUAAUCGGAAUUACUGGGCGUAAAGCGCGCGUAGGCGGUCUGAUAAGCCGGUUGUGAAAGCCCCGGGCUCAACCUGGGAACGGCAUCCGGAACUGUCAGGCUAGAGUGCAGGAGAGGAAGGUAGAAUUCCCGGUGUAGCGGUGAAAUGCGUAGAGAUCGGGAGGAAUACCAGUGGCGAAGGCGGCCUUCUGGACUGACACUGACGCUGAGGUGCGAAAGCGUGGGUAGCAAACAGGAUUAGAUACCCCGUAGUC